This 75-nucleotide microRNA precursor is filed under the name Myotis lucifugus (little brown bat). RNAcentral's name for it is "mir-9229 microRNA precursor family". It matches the Rfam family "mir-9229 microRNA precursor family". The record is from Rfam by way of RNAcentral. Lineage: Eukaryota; Metazoa; Chordata; Mammalia; Chiroptera; Vespertilionidae.
AGACACCCUUCUGGGGAAAGACUUGCUUCAGUGGGGCUUUGGUGCUCACUGAGUCUUCCCCCUGAGUGUGUUCCU